CAGGUACAAUCAUAUUUCUUAGCGUUAUUGUGGCCAAUGCAAAUAAUUUAACAAUUUUACUUAGAAUGCAGCUACCAUAAGCAGGCUGGAGCUAGCUGGGGUAACCGCCCUUAUAGACACCUAUGCUGCUUUUUGUUUCUGCUGUUGAAGUUACAGCCAAUUUAUGUUCAGCAUUUAGUUUAUUUGCUUGGGCUAGCCUUAGUUAUGAUUUGCAUAUCAAUCGCCUUAGUUAUGAUUUGCAUAUCACUUAGUUAUGAUUUGCAUAUCAAUCCCUUGGUUGGAGGAUGAAUCUCGCUACAUACUAAAAGGAUGUUAAUCACCGCAUUGGAACUACCUCCCACGAACUACAUACUAAAAGCAGGUUGCGGGAUGGGAACUUCUCUUAAUCAACUCAUCACCUAAUCCUGAACACUAAACUGAAGACUACACCAAACUCUUAAAAGCUAAAGCAUGAAAUUUACAUUAUGUUGUGGGGUUUGUUAAUUUAUGUUUAUAUGUGUGUGGUGGUUACGAUAGUUUGUUAAGUUUUAUUUAUUUUGAUAGUGUUAAAGUAUACUGUGCACUUACAGUAAUUUCAAGGAGAGAAUAACAUAAUAUUUUCUCAGAAAAAGAUUCUAAUAUAGUUAAUCAAACAAAUAUUUGAAUACACUCGUUUACUUCAUAUCCUGUCUAACAUUUAAUUAAAUUUAUAAUAGGAUGCAUGAGAAAAUUAUUAGAAACAUUGCAUAAGAAAGAUGUGAAUAUUGUGAUUUUGAUUAAAUUAUGAGAGCAGCAACGUGCUUGAAUUGAUUGAUUGAGUUUUUCCCCCGGUGUCAAAUAUAGUGUUAGUGGAGAAAUGUUUCAGUCCGGAAUUUUAAAGUGCGGGAAAGUACGG
This 874-nucleotide long non-coding RNA is filed under the name Citrus sinensis (sweet orange). Its description in RNAcentral is "long non-coding RNA (CSIN_LNC000945)". The record is from RNAcentral. Lineage: Eukaryota; Viridiplantae; Streptophyta; Magnoliopsida; Sapindales; Rutaceae.